RNAcentral lists this ribosomal RNA (509 nucleotides) under uncultured bacterium. RNAcentral describes it as "bacterial SSU rRNA". It matches the Rfam family "Bacterial small subunit ribosomal RNA", at positions 19 to 518 of the family's 1533-position model. The record is from RNAcentral.
CUGGCUCAGAUUGAACGCUGGCGGCAGGCCUAACACAUGCAAGUCGAACGGUAACAGGAAGAAGCUUGCUCUUGCUGACGAGUGGCGGACGGGUGAGUAAUGUCUGGGAAACUGCCUGAUGGAGGGGGAUAACUACUGGAAACGGUAGCUAAUACCGCAUAACGUCGCAAGACCAAAGAGGGGGACCUUCGGGCCUCUUGCCAUCGGAUGUGCCCAGAUGGGAUUAGCUUGUUGGUGGGGUAACGGCUCACCAAGGCGACGAUCCCUAGCUGGUCUGAGAGGAUGACCAGCCACACUGGAACUGAGACACGGUCCAGACUCCUACGGGAGGCAGCAGUGGGGAAUAUUGCACAAUGGGCGCAAGCCUGAUGCAGCCAUGCCGCCGUGUAUGAAGAAGGCCUUCGGGUUGUAAAGUACUUUCAGCGGGGAGGAAGGGAGUAAAGUUAAUACCUUUGCUCAUUGACGUUACCCGCAGAAGAAGCACCGGCUAACUCCGUGCCAGCCGCCGC